GAUGAACGCUGGCGGCGUGCCUAAUACAUGCAAGUCGAACGGCAGCACGGGUGCUUGCACCUGGUGGCGAGUGGCGAACGGGUGAGUAAUACAUCGGAACGUACCUUAUCGUGGGGGAUAACGCAGCGAAAGUUGCGCUAAUACCGCAUACGCCCUGAGGGGGAAAGCGGGGGACCGUAAGGCCUCGCGCGAUUAGAGCGGCCGAUGUCUGAUUAGCUUGUUGGUGAGGUAAAAGCUCACCAAGGCGAUGAUCAGUAGCUGGUCUGAGAGGACGAUCGGCCAGAAUGGGACUGAGACAGGGGCCAGACUCCUACGGGAGGCAGCAGUGGGGAAUUUUGGACAAUGGGGGCAACCCUGAUCCAGCAAUGCCGGGUGAGUGGAGAAGGCCUUCGGGUUGUAAAGCUCUUUUGUCAGGGAAGAAACACCGGCUCUAACACAGUCCGGGAAUGACGGUACCUGAAGAAUAAGCACCGGCUAACUACGUGCCAGCCGCCGCGGUAA
Molecule: ribosomal RNA, 501 nt
Filed under: uncultured bacterium
Lineage: Bacteria
Description: partial 16S ribosomal RNA
Rfam family: Bacterial small subunit ribosomal RNA
Source: RNAcentral